RNAcentral lists this ribosomal RNA (253 nucleotides) under uncultured bacterium. Its description in RNAcentral is "partial 16S ribosomal RNA". It matches the Rfam family "Bacterial small subunit ribosomal RNA", at positions 524 to 776 of the family's 1533-position model. The record is from RNAcentral.
UACGGAGGUGGCAAGCGUUGUUCGGAAUCAUUGGGCUUAAAGGGCGUGUAGGCGGGACGUUAGGUAUCGGGUGAAAUCCCCGGGCUCAACCCGGGAACUGCCUGGUAUACCGGCGUCCUCGAGGCAGGUAGAGGUGACCGGAACGACGGGUGGAGCGGUGAAAUGCGUAGAUAUCCGUUGGAACGCCGGUGGCGAAAGCGGGUCACUGGGCCUGUCCUGACGCUGAGACGCGAAAGCGUGGGUAGCAAACAGG